UCAUUUUAACACCUUCGGGACUUUUCGAAAUGUACCAUCCUCUCACUCUGGUCAAUUUGACUAAAGUUCGAUAUUUAUUUUCCGAAUUCUCGGCAUAUUACACUUGUGCUGAAAUCGGAUUGAAAACGAAGAUUUAAUAUUUUCUGUUAGAAACGGGACAGAUAAAUUAGCAGAAAAUGCACAGUGUCAGAAAAUUAUGAAAAUUGGAGGAUAUGUCAAAAUUAUUUUUAUAAUGCUAGAUUUAAAGUUUCAUACCAAUCUGACACCCGGAAGGUGGAAAAUAAAAUCCGACGA
This 294-nucleotide long non-coding RNA is filed under the name Ananas comosus (pineapple). RNAcentral's name for it is "long non-coding RNA (ACOM_LNC042407)". The record is from RNAcentral. Lineage: Eukaryota; Viridiplantae; Streptophyta; Magnoliopsida; Poales; Bromeliaceae.